This 335-nucleotide unclassified non-coding RNA is filed under the name uncultured fungus. Its description in RNAcentral is "partial contains 5.8S ribosomal RNA and internal transcribed spacer 2". The stretch from base 1 to 133 matches the Rfam family "5.8S ribosomal RNA", at positions 22 to 154 of the family's 154-position model. The record is from RNAcentral. Lineage: Eukaryota; Fungi.
UGGUUCUGGCAUCGAUGAAGAACGCAGCGAAAUGCGAUAAGUAAUGUGAAUUGCAGAAUUUAGUGAAUCAUCGAAUCUUUGAACGCACAUUGCGCCCUUUGGUAUUCCGAAGGGCAUGCCUGUUCGAGCGUCAUUUAAAGACCAUCAAGCCUAGCUUGGCAGUGGAUGUCACGUCCCCGAAACACGGGACGCGUCCUAAAGAUCUCUAAGCGGCGGCGUCGAGCCCCGAGCGUAGUAGAAUUACCAUCCGCUCCGGACGGCCUCGAGCGACGCUAGCUACCAAAAAUCUUUUUUCUCAAAAGGUUGACCUCGGAUCAGGUAGGGAUACCCGCUGA